Molecule: ribosomal RNA, 497 nt
Filed under: uncultured bacterium
Lineage: Bacteria
Description: partial 16S ribosomal RNA
Rfam family: Bacterial small subunit ribosomal RNA
Source: RNAcentral
GAUGAACGCUGGCGGCGUGCCUAAUACAUGCAAGUCGAGCGAACAGACGAGGAGCUUGCUCCUCUGACGUUAGCGGCGGACGGGUGAGUAACACGUGGAUAACCUACCUAUAAGACUGGGAUAACUUCGGGAAACCGGAGCUAAUACCGGAUAAUAUAUUGAACCGCAUGGUUCAAUAGUGAAAGACGGUUUUGCUGUCACUUAUAGAUGGAUCCGCGCCGCAUUAGCUAGUUGGUAAGGUAACGGCUUACCAAGGCAACGAUGCGUAGCCGACCUGAGAGGGUGAUCGGCCACACUGGAACUGAGACACGGUCCAGACUCCUACGGGAGGCAGCAGUAGGGAAUCUUCCGCAAUGGGCGAAAGCUUGACGGAGCAACGCCGAGUGAGUGAUGAAGGUCUUCGGAUCGUAAAACUCUGUUAUUAGGGAAGAACAAAUGUGUAAGUAACUAUGCACGUCUUGACGGUACCUAAUCAGAAAGCCACGGCUAACUACGUG